This 315-nucleotide ribosomal RNA is filed under the name uncultured Glomus. RNAcentral describes it as "SSU rRNA". It matches the Rfam family "Eukaryotic small subunit ribosomal RNA", at positions 569 to 886 of the family's 1831-position model. The record is from RNAcentral. Lineage: Eukaryota; Fungi; Glomeromycota; Glomeromycetes; Glomerales; Glomeraceae.
AGCAGCCGCGGUAAUUCCAGCUCCAAUAGCGUAUAUUAAAGUUGUUGCAGUUAAAAAGCUCGUAGUUGAAUUUCGGGGUUAGUAGGUUGGUCGUGCCACUGGUAUGUACUGGCUUCACUGAUUCCUCCUUCUUGUAGAACUGUGAUGCCAUUAAUUUGGUGUUGCAGGGAAACAGGACUUGUUACUUUGAAAAAAUUAGAGUGUUUAAAGCAGGCUAACGCUUGAAUACAUUAGCAUGGAAUAAUGAAAUAGGACGUUUCGAUUCUAUUUUGUUGGUUUCUAGGAUUGACGUAAUGAUUAAUAGGGAUAGUUGGG